CUUUUCCUUUGGCUGUCGCUUGGUGGGUGAAGUGCAAUUACUGGGGGGAGAAGACUGCCUUCACCCUCUGCCUUACCCCCAGGCAGUGUCUGAAGUGUUAAAAGGAGUCUUCUGUGUCUCUGACCAUCCUCCUGUAUAAAACAAGAGGGUUGAGCACAUUCCAUGAGCAGUGCACCCCAUCAAUGCCCCAUCCCAGCCCCGAAGGCCACCCUGCCCCACGGCUGGGAGGAGGCACAGAGCUCCAACCUGCCCCUGCCUGUGGGUCUCCACAGGGAAGACUCAGUUUCUACACAUUUGUAAGGGCUGUCAAAGUCCUUCUGCACACCUCCCUCCUCACCCAUCUCCCCUUUUGCAUGACCCAAGAAAUUAAUAACUUCAGGACUGAAUCAGUCUGAGCACCACAACUUUCUCCUGAUAAUUUUAGAGAUGGUUUCUCCUCUUCUGACUCUGGAUUAAUAGUCUGGGAGGCCUCAGUGAAAGCAACUUGCUUCUGGUGAUUCUUGGCACCAGGAGCAGGGAGUUGAAAGAGUGGAUAGGGCAUGGAGAUGUGCCAGUGCCACCGCAGGGCUGGAAACGAUGGCAUUCCAUUUGGGAGGAGGGUUUAUAUAGCCACUGAGGCCCUUCAUGCCUUGGGGGAACAUGGGAGCCCUGUGACCCACUACUCUUUUGCAGAAACAAAGUAACCUUGUAAAACUGAAAGAGACAUCUGAUUACUGUUUACCCGGGUCCUUGAGGGGCUGGGAGAGUGCCUGCAAUACAGAUCAUGCAGGGCUGAGGCAAACAGCGUACAGUUCUCUUGCCUUCUGGAGCUGCUAACUGCCCUUCCAUCCUUUUCUGCUCCCCAGUCAACUGUCCAGUCCUACCUGGAGGGGGUAAGUGCAGGGCUGGAGCAGCUGCGGUCGGCGGCCCAGGAGGUGCAGAGCGUGUGCCAGGACCUGGGGGCUGCACGAUGGGCCCUGCUCGACAGCGCAGACCACUUCCAGGGCCUCCAGCAGAUGAGGGAGCUGAUGGAGGAGCAUGUGCAGCUGGCCUCAGUGGUCCAGGUGCUGCCCCAGAUCUUCUCGGUCCAUGAGGUUUCUUCCCAUAUCCUGCAGCUGCUCCAUGGGCAGCAUCUCUUGGAGGCCCACGUGGAGCUCAUGAUGGUGGAGCAACUCCGGGAUGACAUCCUCUCCCAGCUGCACCUCCGCGGGCUCUCCAGUGCCCAGGCAA
This 1209-nucleotide long non-coding RNA is filed under the name Cyanistes caeruleus (blue tit). RNAcentral describes it as "lncRNA (ENSCCEG00000002791.1)". The record is from RNAcentral. Lineage: Eukaryota; Metazoa; Chordata; Aves; Passeriformes; Paridae.